GGUUUCGUGGUGUAGCGGUUAUCACGUCUGCUUCACACGCAGAAGGUCGCGAGUUCGAUCCUCGCCGAAACCU
Molecule: transfer RNA, 73 nt
Filed under: Mizuhopecten yessoensis (Yesso scallop)
Lineage: Eukaryota; Metazoa; Mollusca; Bivalvia; Pectinida; Pectinidae
Description: tRNA-Val
Rfam family: tRNA
About the family: Transfer RNA (tRNA) molecules are approximately 80 nucleotides in length. Their secondary structure includes four short double-helical elements and three loops (D, anti-codon, and T loops). Further hydrogen bonds mediate the characteristic L-shaped molecular structure. tRNAs have two regions of fundamental functional importance: the anti-codon, which is responsible for specific mRNA codon recognition, and the 3' end, to which the tRNAs corresponding amino acid is attached (by aminoacyl-tRNA synthetases). tRNAs cope with the degeneracy of the genetic code in two manners: having more than one tRNA (with a specific anti-codon) for a particular amino acid; and 'wobble' base-pairing, i.e. permitting non-standard base-pairing at the 3rd anti-codon position.
Source: Rfam by way of RNAcentral